UACAAAGGAAUUGACGGGUCCCCGCACAAGCAGCGGAGCGUGUGGUUUAAUUCGUUGCUACACGAAGAACCUUACCUGGGUUUGACAUAGCAGUGGUAGGGAAGAGAAAUCGGACCGACCCUUCGGGGAGCUGUUACAGGUGUUGCAUGGCUGUCGUCAGCUCGUGUCGUGAGAUGUUCGGUUAAGUCCGCUAACGAGCGCAACCCGCGUUGUGUGUUAUAUGUGUCACACAAUACCGCCGGUAUUAAGCCGGAGGAAGGUGCGGAUGACGUCAAGUCAGCAUGACCUUUAUAUCCAGGGCUACACACACGCUACAAUGGACAGUACAACAGGUUGCCAAGCCGCGAGGCGGAGCCAAUCCUCUAAAGCUGUCCUCAGUUCAGAUUGCAGGCUGCAACUCGCCUGCAUGAAGUUGGAGUUGCUAGUAACCGCAGGUCAGCUAUACUGCGGUGAAUACGUUCCCGGGGAUU
Molecule: ribosomal RNA, 470 nt
Filed under: uncultured Anaerolineaceae bacterium
Lineage: Bacteria; Bacillati; Chloroflexota; Anaerolineae; Anaerolineales; Anaerolineaceae
Description: bacterial SSU rRNA
Rfam family: Bacterial small subunit ribosomal RNA
Source: RNAcentral